Molecule: ribosomal RNA, 468 nt
Filed under: uncultured bacterium
Lineage: Bacteria
Description: partial 16S ribosomal RNA
Rfam family: Bacterial small subunit ribosomal RNA
Source: RNAcentral
GACGAACGCUGGCGGCGUGCUUAACACAUGCAAGUCGAACGGAAAGGCCCUGCUUUUGUGGGGUGCUCGAGUGGCGAACGGGUGAGUAACACGUGAGUAACCUGCCCUUGACUUUGGGAUAACUUCAGGAAACUGGGGCUAAUACCGGAUAGGAGCUCCUGCUGCAUGGUGGGGGUUGGAAAGUUUCGGCGGUUGGGGAUGGACUCGCGGCUUAUCAGCUUGUUGGUGGGGUAGUGGCUUACCAAGGCUUUGACGGGUAGCCGGCCUGAGAGGGUGACCGGCCACAUUGGGACUGAGAUACGGACCAGACUCCUACGGGGGACAGCAGUGGGGAAUAUUGCACAAUGGGCGGAAGCCUGAUGCAGCAGCGCCGCGUGCGGAAUGACGGCCUUCGGGUUGUGAACCGCUUUCGCCUGUGACGAAGCGUGAGUGACGGUAAUAGGUAAAGAAGCACCGGCUAACUACGUG